CCCGACUGCUAUCAGAGUGGGACUAAGCCAUGCGAGUCAACAUAGCAAUAUGUGGCAUACGGCUCAGUAACACGUAGUCAACAUGCCCAGGGGACGUGGAUAACCUCGGGAAACUGAGGAUAAACCGCGAUAGGUCAUCACUUCUGGAAUGGGUAAUGACUUAAACCUAUAUGGCCCCUGGAUUGGACUGCGGCCGAUCAGGCUGUUGGUGAGGUAAUGGCCCACCAAACCUGUAACCGGUACGGGCUCUGAGAGGAGGAGCCCGGAGAUGGGCACUGAGACAAGGGCCCAGGCCCUAUGGGGCGCAGCAGGCGCGAAACCUCUGCAAUAGGCGAAAGCUUGACAGGGUUACUCUGUGUGAUUUCCGUUAAGGAGAUCUUUUGGCACCUCUAAAAAUGGUGCAGAAUAAGGGGUGGGCAAGUCUGGUGU
This 429-nucleotide ribosomal RNA is filed under the name uncultured archaeon. RNAcentral's name for it is "bacterial SSU rRNA". It matches the Rfam family "Archaeal small subunit ribosomal RNA", at positions 24 to 458 of the family's 1478-position model. The record is from RNAcentral.